GAUGAACGCUAGCGGCAGGCUUAAUACAUGCAAGUCGUGGGGCAGCAGGGGUAGCAAUACCCGCUGGCGACCGGCAAACGGGUGCGCAAUACGUACGCAACCUUCCUUUAAGGGGGGAAUAGCCCAGGGAAACUUGGAUUAAUACCCCAUAGUAUGAUGAAGAGGCAUCUCUUUAUUAUUAAAGCUCCGGCACUUAAAGA
This 200-nucleotide ribosomal RNA is filed under the name uncultured bacterium. Its description in RNAcentral is "partial 16S ribosomal RNA". It matches the Rfam family "Bacterial small subunit ribosomal RNA", at positions 28 to 225 of the family's 1533-position model. The record is from RNAcentral.